This 200-nucleotide ribosomal RNA is filed under the name uncultured bacterium. Its description in RNAcentral is "partial 16S ribosomal RNA". It matches the Rfam family "Bacterial small subunit ribosomal RNA", at positions 8 to 210 of the family's 1533-position model. The record is from RNAcentral.
AGAGUUUGAUCCUGGCUCAGGACGAACGCUGGCGGCGUGCUUAACACAUGCAAGUCGAGCGGUAAGGCCCUUCGGGGUACACGAGCGGCGAACGGGUGAGUAACACGUGGGUGAUCUGCCUUGCACUCUGGGAUAAGCCUGGGAAACUGGGUCUAAUACCGGAUAUGACCAUUGGUUGCAUGAUCGGUGGUGGAAAGAUU